Molecule: long non-coding RNA, 7775 nt
Filed under: Homo sapiens (human)
Lineage: Eukaryota; Metazoa; Chordata; Mammalia; Primates; Hominidae
Description: non-protein coding lnc-HDDC2-5:15
Source: RNAcentral
AGAGCAGCGAGCGGGUGGGGAGCAGCCGGGGCGAGAAUGAGCGCAAUCUUGCUAACCCCUGCGGAGGGAGCGCGCGGGCGCCAACGCGGGCGCGCGGGGGCGGGCCCUGGACCUGGACCUUGGGUUUCGGCCCUCCUCCGCGCCCCGCGGUCUCGCGGGCGAAGUUUCAGUCCUGAGUGUAAAGAAUAACCCCAAGCGCGUGGCUAAGUGCGAGCAGGCGCGUGUGACGUCGGGAGGCGCCGCGGCUCCUCGGCCGCCCCACUCGGUGGUCCCCUGUCUGGAUCCAAACUGCUGACUGGCUGACCCGAGUGGUCACAUUUGCCCUCUGGGGCUUUUGAAAACCUUAAAUCAAAAUUGCUUUUGAAUCUGACAACUCCUGAGGCUACUUUCGCGGCCUCGGGGCUGUUUCAUAUAAGGACGCGAGUUUUCCUGAUCAGGUCUGUCGGCCACGUUACGAUUUCCAAUUUGCGAUCCAUCAGUUACUUCCAUUGGGUCUUCAGCCCCCAGGGACUGUGGAUCCUAGACCCCGCGGAGAAGCCCGUGGACUGGAGCUGUGUCAGCUCUGAUGGUAGGAAAGACUAGAUCAAUGACGCGGGCAUUUCAGGACAUAAUCGUAUAUUUUCAAGUUCGAGUUUUUCGGGCUUGGAUUAUCCAGAUAAUUGCCUCCAGUCUCCUCCAGUCCCCCUGGUGUAUGCACUCGCAGCCGCAGAGUUAGAGUCCGGGAGGUGAAGAUUGGCGCUUGGAAAUUAGAUUUGGUUUCUAAAGUAUGAAUUCGUGUCCAACAGUUCGUGCCUUGGACAACGUGGGUUGUAUAAAACUCAAGCUGUGUGUUUAAAACAGGUUUUCUAGCUGCUGGUUCUCUCCAAGUUAUGUAGGACUUUUGAACUGGCCACCCCGCUGUGCGUCUGCGAGGGCAGGGACUGAGCGAGACCCAGCCAGGGGCGCCGGGAGACUGGCGGCGGCUGGGUUGGGGUCCAGCCGGAAACCACACGUUGGCAGGGCCGCUUGGUCAGUAGUGGAGAGAGCCUCUGAGAAAGGGCCGUCUAUCGAUCCCCAGACCCCUCCGUCACGGAGGGAUUCAUAGCUUCCUGGGGAUCGGCCCAGGGCGUCCCUUUGACACUCCGUUCUCUGUCCACACAAGCCCGGCGCGGGGCGGGGAGAAGAGGAAAGGACGCGACUGGGAAAGACGGGACCCUGGCGGGGUUUGGCCCGGGGGAGAGCGGGAAGGAGCCCGGUCGGCGCGGAGGACCUGCGGCCAGCGUGCUAAGCCCUUAUUAGAACAGAAACCCCUUUCCCCCCACACUCUCAUCUCUUUUGCGCGGUCCCCACCGCCAUGCCUUCAAUAACCUUGUGAAUAGAAACCCGAAUCGUUCCAUCUUGGCUUCUGAAACUUAACCCCAGGCAAAGCACACACUCGGCGGGGCCAGGUGGGGCUGGAUGGGGUCCGCGCCCGACGGCGGGGCCGCGGGGGUCGGUGAACCCCAGCUCCCCUGUCGGCCUCAGGGCGGAUGGCUGGGUCGGCGCGGGGUUCGGGGCCUCCGAUCGGCUGCACGAGGGCGGGCCAGGACCCAGACCCCGUCCCCGCUCCGGCCCCGCAAUCCAGCGGGUGACGAGCCUGACGCGCGCCGGUCGCCUGCCACCUCCCGCCCCGAGCGCCCUGGGCCAGUACCUCCCGGCCGCAGGUGAACGCUCCGCGGCCCGCCAGGCUCAAGCUCGACCGUCACAACUUUCCGUGAGGGCUGCACGUUUUUCUGAAUUCAAAUGCCUGCAGGUGCAACUCAUGUUUGCCACACGGGCAAUUAGCGGGCGCGUCCAAACGCCUGAGGCAAAACCUGAGAUCAUCACUGAAAAAAAAAAAUCUAACAGUUCUUUGCCACUAUACUAGUGUAUUUAAUUAUGAUUGCGAAAAAUUGCAGAGGGAAACGAUUUGCUGGCAAUUAAGUAGCAACUGGUUAAAGUUUUUUUUCAAUUUGUCUUUGAAGACAACUGCUGUACUAUGUAUAAAGAAGAGUAUAGCAGGGAAGUUCGAAAGCACACACGGAAUUUUAAAUCUGUUAAAAAUAUUUUUUAAGCAAAGAAGGUGGUAUUUUAAAAGCAUUUAAAACAGCGCCUGGUAUAUAGUAAGCGCCAUAGAAGUCUGUUAAGAAUGCAUAGGGCAAGAGAGCUCAGGGUUUUGAACGCUAUCAAAAUAAUAUGCUUAUUUAUCUGCAAAACACAAUAGCAAUUAGGCAGCACGAGAUUUCCCCAUUAGGUCGUUUAUUCUCCUCAGCUGUUUAUUCCAUUUGCCUGUCCCUUGGUUGAGCGCCUUGUCUGUCUAUAACCGAAAGUGCGUUUCGGGUCAGAGAGACAGAAACAGACACAGGAAACCCUUUAAAGCGCCCCCGCCGACUUAAAUACGGUAGUGGAUUGGAGGUGGGGAGGUGUAGGGGAGGCGUUAUGUGGAGAGAAAGAAAAGAGAAAGAAUGAGGGAACGGCGGGAUUUCAAGCCUCCCCGCCCUUCUGCGACAACCUUUUCAGCGAAAGGGAAGGCUUAGGAAGAAAAGAUGUCCGCGCGUAGAGCAAACCGCAGUUCUUUCCUUUCUUUUUGAAGGAUUUGUACCAUGAGUUAAUUACACCAAAAGAUACGAGGGACUUUAUUAGAAAGGAGAUGCCGUUAGGAAAGAAAGGCCAGGACGGCCGAUCUAAAGGGAAUGGAGAAGGGAAGACUCAGACGCCCUCCCGAAAUUGGUGGUCUAGCCUGUGUUUUGUGCUAAAUGUUAUUUAACUUAAUGGCGUGGGAGUGAGAUGUUGAAUGCAGAGAUCUGGAAAUACCAGAUUUAGUGGUCCUGUUCCUCCUCCCCGACUCUUUUCACACCCAUUUAAUAAAAAGUUACAGUUUUUACACCCGUAUUGAUAAAUUUGGCGAUGUUGGCCAAGUAUUAUCUCGCCCCGCAGAUUUUGAAUUUUGUUGCACAAACCGAUGAAAUGAUUGCUUUGCUAUAAUUGUAAAACUUUUUUGGAACGAACCUGGAUUUUUUUUAUGCCUCUUCAUCUACUUUUUGCUUCAUUAGAGCCCUCUGGUUUUCCAAGAUCGACUGUCACACUUUGUUAUUUGUUGCUUCUCUAAAUCCUUUGAGAUGCUGCUCGCAGCUACGUAAAAAACGUUGGCCACUCAGGUAUUUGAUGGGCUUAGAAAGUCACCAAGAUGUGACACCAUUUAAAAGUUUUAGCUUGGUUUCUCAGUGAAAUAAGGGCAUCUCUGUUAAUUAGAAAACUUUGUGUUAGUCUGAGAUGCCUAAGAGCAUAGUCCAAAUUGAAAAUUCCAAUAUUUUGCCACAUCUGAAAUAUAAUUAUUUACACAGCCUUCUCUUUCAAAGGGAGGACAAACAGGUUGCCUUGAGAAGAGCUAUUCUAUUUGCAAUUGCUGGGGCAGGUGACAAACACGUGUGUAUCUGUGGGCAGCCUUGUUGGGCUGCCUUCCCUGACUACAAGGCUUUUGUGAGCUGGUAACGCCUUAAAAUGUGUGAGAAUGCUGCGCCCUAGGAGUGGAGGCCAAGGGCAAGAUCCUUGUACAUUUCAAUACCUUUUCCAACAUCAGGCUGGCAGCAGGCAGGCCAACCUAGGGUCACUGUGUGACACAUAUUUGCAAGCCAGUAAAGCAAAACAAAGCUGAAAGCAAGUGCAAAUUUAGGCCCACCAACCUUGAAGUCAUCCCUGAAAGGGAGCUGCUUUACUAGUUAAUUUUUCUUGCCCAGUCAGCCACACAAAAUGCAUUGUAUUUCUUGGCUUGCCCCAGUAAUUGCGACUUACUUGUUACAGCAGAAGCUUCAAGAAUUUACACUCAUUGGAAUAAUAAAAUAGAAGUAAGCAACCGUGCAUUAAAAAGCUAUGAAAAGAUGAAGAGAAUAUGCCUUCAAAUGGGAAGGAAUACUUAACUGUGAAUAAGACCUAGUUCAACAUGGAACUUCCUGGUGGCCAAGUCAGAAGAGAAGCACAGAACAAAAACGGAGGCACAGAGAGGUCAAUUGAUUGGUCUAAUGACACAGAUCUAGCAAGUGGUGGAACCAGGACUGAAUCCAGAGGGUUUAUCAAUUGUGUUGAUCUUUUCAAAAAGCAAACUAUCGGAUAUUGGGGGAAGAUGGCAGAUAGGAAACAAGGCUAACGUGCAGCUCCCACAUGAAUGGUCACAACAGUGUGUGCAGACUCACACUGUGAACUUUUCUCCAAGGAUCACUGCAGGAACAUACCAGGAAAACUGAAAGAAUUCACACUUUGAAAGAAGCAGCAUGCCACUGCAAAUUCCAUGAAACAGCAGUGGAGACAACUCGCAACAUCAGCAACACAUUUGGCCCUGGAACUGCUAAUGAAUGUACAGUGCAGUGAUGGUUCAAAAAGUUUUGCAAAGGAGACAAGAGCCUUGAAGAUGAGGAGCAUGGUGGCGGGCCAUCAGAAGUUGACAGUGACCAAUUGAGAGCAAUCAUCGAAGCUGAUCCUCUUACAACUACACAAGAAGUUGCAGAAGAACUCAAUGCCUACCAUUCUAUGGUCACUUGGCAUUUGAUACAAAUUGUAAAGGUGAAAAAGCUGAAUAAAUGGGUGCCUCAUGAGUGAAAAUCAAAAAAAUCAUCAUUUUGAAGUGUCAUCUCCUCUUACUCUUUGCAACAACAAUUUGCAAGAACCAUUUCUUGAUCAGAUUGUGACAUGUGACGAAAAUUGGAUUUUAUACAACUGGCAAUGGCCAGCUCAGCAGUUGGACCGAGAAGAAACUCCAAAACACUUCCCAAAGCCAACCUUGCACCAAAAAAGGUUAUCGUCAUUGUUUGGUGGUCUGCUGCCAAUCUUAUCCACUACAGCUUUCUGAAUCCCGGCAAAACCAUUAUAUCUGAAAAUUAUGCUCAGGAAGUCUAUGAAAUGCACUGAAAACUGCAAUGCCUGGAGCUGGCAUUGGUCAACAGAAAGGGCCCAAUUCUUCUCAAAACAGUGCCUAAUCACACGUCACACAACCAACACUUCAAAAAUUGAACAAAUUGUACUAUGAAGUUUUGUCUAAUCUGCAAUAUUCACUUGACCUCUCACCAACUGACUACCACUUCUUUAAGCAUCUCAACAGCUUUUUGCAGGGAAAACACUUCCACAACCAGCUGGAUGUAGAAAAUGCUUUCCAAGCAUUCACUGAAUCUCAAGGCACAGAUUUUUAUGCUACAGGAAUAAACAAACAUUUCUUGUUGGCAAAAAUGUGUUGAUUGUAAUGGUUCCUGUUUUGAUUAAUAAAGAGGUGGUUUGAGCCUAGUUAUAAUGACUGAAAAUUCAUGAUCUGAAACUGCAAUUACUUGUGCACCAACCUAAUAUGAUCAUCUCAAUAGAUGCAGAAAAAGCACUUGACAAAAUUCAGCAUCUUUUUAUAAUUAAAACCCUCAGCAAAGUUGGCAUAGAAGGGAUAUACCUCAAGGUAAUAAAAGCCAUCUAUGAAAAACCUACAGCCAGAUUAUACAGAAUGGCGAAAGAUUGAAAGCAUUUCCCAUGAGAACUGAAAAAGACAAAGAUGCCCACAUCUACCACUUCUAUUCAAUAUAGUACUGGAAGUCCUAGCCAGAGCAAUCAGACAUGAGAAAGAAAUAAAGGGCAUCAAAAUCAGUAAAGAGGAAGUUGAACUGUUGCUGUUUAGUGGUGAUAUGAAUGUACACCUAGAAAACCCUAAAGAGUCAUCCAAAAAACUGCUAGAUCUGAUAAAUGAAUUCAGCAAAGUUUCAGGAUACAAAAUCAAGGUACACAAAUUAGUAGGACUACUAUACACCAACAAUGACCAAGCUGAGAAACUAACCGAGAACUCAAUCCCUUUUACAACAGCUGCAAGAAAUUAAAACACUUAGAAAUAUACUUAACCAAGAAGGUGAAAGAUCUGUACAAGAAAAACUACAAAACCUGCUGAAAGAAAUCAUUAAUGACUCAAACAAAUGGAAACACAUCCCAUGCUCACAGAUACGUAGAAUCAAUGGUGUGAAAAUAACCAUACUGCCAAAAGCAGUUUACAGAUUGAAUGCAAUUCCAUCAAAAUACCACCAUCAUUCUUCAUAGAACUAGAAAAAACAAUCUGAAAAUUCACAUGAAACCAAAAAAAGAAAAGACCCCACAUAGCCAAAGCAAGACUAAGCAAAAGAACAAAUCUGGAAGCAUCACAUUACCCAGCAAAACAGCAUGAUACUGGUAUAAAAAUAGGCAUGUAGACCAAUGGAACAGAAUAGAGAAUCCAGAAAUAAAGCCAAAUACUUGCAGCCAACUGAUCUUUGACAAAGCAAACAAAAACAUAAAGUGGGGAAAAGUCACCCAAUAUCAACAAAUAGAGCUGCGAUAAUUGGCAAGCUACAUUUAGAAAAAUGAAAUGGAUCCUCAUCUCUCACCUUAUGCAAAAAUCAACUCAAGAUGGAUCAAAGACUUAAAUCUAAGACCUGAAACUAUAAAAAUUCUAGAAGGUAACACUGGCAAAACUCUUCUAGACAUUGGCUUAGGCAAAGAGUACAUGACCAAGAACCCAAAAGCAAAUGCAACAAAAACAAAAGUAAAUAAAUGGGACCUAAUUAAACUAAAAAGCUUCUGCACAGUGAAAGAAACAAUCAGCAGAGUAAACAGGCAACCCACAAAAUGGGAGAAAAUACUCACAAAUUAUGCAUUUGACAAAGGACUAAUAUCAAGAAUCUACAAGGAACUCAAAUCAGCAAGACAAAACAAAUAAUCUCAUCAAAAAGUGGGCAAAGGACAUAAAUAGACAAUUCUCAAAAGAAGAUAUACAAAUGGCCGACAAACACAUGCAAAGAUGCGCAACAUCACUAUCAGGGAAAUGCAAAUCAAAACCACAACGAGAUACUACCUUACUCCUGCAAGAAUGGCCAUAAUUAAAAAAAAUAAUAAAUAGUAGGUGUUGGAGUGGAUAUGGUGAAAAGGGAACACUUUUACACUGCUGGUGGGAAUGUAAGCUAGUACAACCACUGUGUAAAACAGGAUGGAUAUUCCUUAAAGAACUAAAGUAGAACUACCAUUUGAUCCAGCAAUCCCACUGCUGGGUAGAGAGUCUACCCAGAGGAAAAUAAGUCAUUAUAUGGUAAAGACACAAGCAUAUGCAUGCAUUAUAAGUAAGAGGUAAGCUAUGAGAAUGCAAAGGCAUAAGAAUGAUAUCAUGGACUUUGGGGAUUCAGGGGGAAGAGGGAGGUGAGGGAUAAACAACUACACAUUGGGUACAUUGUACACUGCUUGGGUGAUGAGUACACCAAAAUCUGAGAAAUUACCACUAACGCAUUAAUCCAUGCAACCAAAAACUACCAGAAAAGGAUUGACAUUAAAAAAAGUUAAAAUAAAAUAAAAAUAAACUGAGAGGGAGGAAAGCCCUUUGAUUUAUGACACAGAAGCCAUAAACAAUAUGACUAUAGGAUAAUAUGUAUUUUUAAUUUUUUCAAUCUUACUAUAUCAGAAAAUUAUCAGACAUUUGAUAGUACAUCCUCCCCACAAGAAAGGUGUGGGAAAACAUCAUGCAUUCUUGGACUCAACAAAAAUUUGCUUUUAAAUACUAAUUUUAGAAUUAUAAUUGCACAUUUAAAUGAAACAUAUAUAAGGUCAUUGUAUACUUAAAUACUGCUUAUAAUAGCAAAAGACUGCAAACAACAACUUAAAAGUCUAUCAGCAGGAGUCUUGUUAAAGUAUUAUAUAAAUUACACAAUGAAAAACUAAAAAUUGUGCACCUGUAUAGAGAAUACCAAUGCUCUCUAAGCAUGGUGGAAAAUUGUGUUCAUAUUAUGCUAAAAAUU